CAGCCGCCACGGUAAUACAGAGGGUGCGAGCGUUAAUCGGAUUUACUGGGCGUAAAGCGUGCGUAGGCGGCUAAUUGAGUCGGAUGUGAAAUCCCCGAGCUUAACUUGGGAAUUGCAUUCGAUACUGGUUAGCUAGAGUGUGGGAGAGGAUGGUAGAAUUCCAGGUGUAGCGGUGAAAUGCGUAGAGAUCUGGAGGAAUACCGAUGGCGAAGGCAGCCAUCUGGCCUAACACUGACGCUGAGGUACGAAAGCAUGGGGAGCAAACAGGAUUAGAUACCCGCGUAGUCCCUGUCUCUUAUAA
Molecule: ribosomal RNA, 301 nt
Filed under: uncultured bacterium
Lineage: Bacteria
Description: partial 16S ribosomal RNA
Rfam family: Bacterial small subunit ribosomal RNA
Source: RNAcentral